RNAcentral lists this ribosomal RNA (253 nucleotides) under uncultured Coprococcus sp. RNAcentral describes it as "partial 16S ribosomal RNA". It matches the Rfam family "Bacterial small subunit ribosomal RNA", at positions 524 to 776 of the family's 1533-position model. The record is from RNAcentral. Lineage: Bacteria; Bacillati; Bacillota; Clostridia; Lachnospirales; Lachnospiraceae.
UACGGAGGGGGCAAGCGUUAUCCGGAUUUACUGGGUGUAAAGGGAGCGUAGGCGGCAAGGUAAGCCAGAAGUGAAAGCCCGCGGCUCAACUGCGGGACUGCUUUUGGAACUAUCUAGCUAGAUUGCAGGAGAGGGAAGUGGAAUUCCAUGUGUAGCGGUGAAAUGCGUAGAGAUAUGGAGGAACACCAGUGGCGAAGGCGGCUUCCUGGUCUGCAACUGACACUGAGGCGCGAAAGCGUGGGGAGCAAACAGG